RNAcentral lists this unclassified non-coding RNA (89 nucleotides) under Pseudomonas antarctica. Lineage: Bacteria; Pseudomonadati; Pseudomonadota; Gammaproteobacteria; Pseudomonadales; Pseudomonadaceae. The record is from RNAcentral.
UGUGGGAGCGGGCUUGCUCGCGAAGGCGGUGUGUCAGCCAGCAUAUUCGGUACUGGCACACCGCAUUCGCGAGCAAGCCCGCUCCCACA